RNAcentral lists this ribosomal RNA (253 nucleotides) under uncultured bacterium. RNAcentral's name for it is "partial 16S ribosomal RNA". It matches the Rfam family "Bacterial small subunit ribosomal RNA", at positions 524 to 776 of the family's 1533-position model. The record is from RNAcentral.
UACGUAGGGGGCAAGCGUUGUCCGGAUUUAUUGGGCGUAAAGCGCGUGUAGGCGGCUAGGUAGGUCCGCUGUGAAAACUUGAGGCUCAACCUCAAAAGGUCGGUGGAAACCAUCUGGCUAGAGUCCGGAAGAGGAGAAUGGAAUUCCUGGUGUAGCGGUGAAAUUCGUAGAUAUCGAGAGGAACACCGGUGGCGAAGGCGGCCUUCUGGACAGUGACUGACGCUGAGACGCGAAAGCGUGGGGAGCAAACAGG